UGGGUUGACCAAAAAGUUUGUUUGGGUUUUUCUGCAACAUUGUAAUGGAAAAACCUGAACCAACAUUUUGGCCAACCCAAU
This 81-nucleotide microRNA precursor is filed under the name Ovis aries (sheep). RNAcentral's name for it is "miRNA (ENSOARG00000024473.1)". Lineage: Eukaryota; Metazoa; Chordata; Mammalia; Artiodactyla; Bovidae. The record is from RNAcentral.